GUGCCAGCAGCCGCGGUAAUACGUAGGUGGCAAGCGUUGUCCGGAUUUACUGGGCGUAAAGGAUGUGUAGGCGGAUAUUUAAGUGAGAUGUGAAAUCCCAGGGCUUAACUUUGGGGCUGCAUUUCAAACUGGAUGUCUAGAGUGCAUGAGCGGAAAGCAGAAUUCCUAGUGUAGCGGUUAAAUGCGGAGAGAUUAGGAAGAAUACCAGUGGCGAAGGCGGCUUUCUGGACUGUAAAUGAC
RNAcentral lists this ribosomal RNA (240 nucleotides) under uncultured bacterium. RNAcentral describes it as "partial 16S rRNA". It matches the Rfam family "Bacterial small subunit ribosomal RNA", at positions 505 to 744 of the family's 1533-position model. The record is from RNAcentral.